This 89-nucleotide non-coding RNA is filed under the name Asanoa hainanensis. RNAcentral describes it as "ZTP sequence". It matches the Rfam family "ZMP/ZTP riboswitch aptamer (pfl RNA motif)". From Rfam's summary of the family: Previously known as pfl RNA. ZMP is also known as AICAR. Lineage: Bacteria; Bacillati; Actinomycetota; Actinomycetes; Micromonosporales; Micromonosporaceae. The record is from Rfam by way of RNAcentral.
CCGGGUACUCGCGACUGGCGCAGCGAGGUGGAACUGACCACCGGGGAGCGACCGCAGGCAACGCCGCACCGCGCGCCUGGGUGUGGUGU